RNAcentral lists this ribosomal RNA (257 nucleotides) under uncultured bacterium. RNAcentral's name for it is "partial 16S ribosomal RNA". It matches the Rfam family "Bacterial small subunit ribosomal RNA", at positions 524 to 776 of the family's 1533-position model. The record is from RNAcentral.
UACGGGGGGGAGCAAGCGUUGUUCGGAUUUACUGGGCGUAAAGGGCGCGUAGGCGGCCACCGCAAGUCGACUGUGAAAUCUCCGGGCUUAACCCGGAAAGGUCAGCCGAUACUGCGGGGCUAGAGUGCAGAAGGGGCAACUGGAAUUCUCGGUGUAGCGGUGAAAUGCGUAGAUAAUCGAGAGGAACACCUGCGGCGAAGGCGGGUUGCUGGGCUGACACGUGACGCUGAGGCGCGAAAGCUAGGGGAGCGAACGGG